This 393-nucleotide ribosomal RNA is filed under the name uncultured bacterium. RNAcentral describes it as "partial 16S ribosomal RNA". It matches the Rfam family "Bacterial small subunit ribosomal RNA", at positions 523 to 918 of the family's 1533-position model. The record is from RNAcentral.
AUACGGAGGACGCGAGCGUUAUCCGGAUUCAUUGGGUUUAAAGGGUGCGCAGGCGGCCGUGCAAGUCAGCGGUGAAAGCCCGGGGCUCAACCCCGGAAGUGCCGUUGAUACUGCAUGGCUGGAAUGCGGUCGAGGCGGGCGGAGAGGGGCGUGGACCGGGGGAAUGCGUAGAUAUGCCACAGAACGCCGAUAGCGGAGGCAGCUCGCCAGGCCUGCAUUGACGCUCGGGCACGAAAGCGUGGGGAUCGAACAGGAUUAGAUACCCUGGUAGUCCACGCCGUAAACGAUGGGCGCUCGUCGUCGGCGGCAGACAGUCGGCGGCCAAGCGAAAGCGAUAAGCGCCCCACCUGGGGAGUACGGUCGCAAGGCUGAAACUCAAAGGAAUUGGCGGGG